UAAUGAAUCAAAACUUUCAACAACGGAUCUCUUGGUUCUGGCAUCGAUGAAGAACGCAGCGAAAUACGGAUAAGUAA
RNAcentral lists this ribosomal RNA (77 nucleotides) under Cordyceps gunnii. RNAcentral describes it as "partial 5.8S ribosomal RNA". The stretch from base 12 to 77 matches the Rfam family "5.8S ribosomal RNA", at positions 1 to 65 of the family's 154-position model. Rfam says of the family: 5.8S ribosomal RNA (5.8S rRNA) is a component of the large subunit of the eukaryotic ribosome. It is transcribed by RNA polymerase I as part of the 45S precursor that also contains 18S and 28S rRNA. Lineage: Eukaryota; Fungi; Ascomycota; Sordariomycetes; Hypocreales; Cordycipitaceae. The record is from RNAcentral.